UAGAAUAAUAAAAUAAUAAGUACUCUGGUUUCCAGCCAUAUAAACGGUGGCCAAAAACCCCCUCUUGUUGUGCCAUGGAUCAGGGAAUCCCCUUGCAGCUGGAGUUGUGAAGGAAAAGGGGAUUUGCCAGCCCCAGAUCCACCACGGUGGUUUGGUGGUGAAGAGAAACGUGGUGAUUCCCAGCUUCAGGAAUGCCAGGGAAAACUCAGGCACAUCCAGGUUUUCCAAUCCCUGCAUUUUCCUUCAGUCAAGACCCAUAUUUUCACCUCGAGGUGGGGGGUGUGUGUCUCAAUUUUGAUUAUUCUCUGCUCAUUCCUUCAGAACGAGGAAGACAGAAAAUCUUGGAAGCAAAGAGGAAGGAAAAAAAACCCAACCAAACCCCUGUAAUCAGCAGGAAAUUCAGGAGAGUUUCAGUUCUCAGAGAGCAGCAAAGAGGCAUCACCCUUAUUUUGUGGGGGAAUUUUGAGCUUGUCUUCUGGCAGCUCUGCUCUCAGGGCUGAGAAACCCUGGAUAACAUCAGAUAAUGCUCCCAGGGCCGCUUGCCAGGAAAACAGCGAUCCCAAAAGGUAACUCCGACCUGAUUAUUGGGUAUUCAUCUCCCCAAAGGCACAAUGGCAGCUCCGGCAGAUAACAUCGGGGUGAGGCACCCCGGAGGCUCCGUGCCUCAUUCACACCCUGCUGCACAGCUGAGCCCCGCCGUUUCCAUCCUAAACAGCCGGGAAAAAACUUAAACUGCACAAAACCCCCGUGCUCUGAGGAGUGAGAGGAGGGAGAACUUGUAAAAUCACACAGCGACGUGCUCUGAGGGAAAAGAGUUGGAGGCAAAGCUGCUCAAAAAAAAAAAA
Non-coding RNA from Cyanistes caeruleus (blue tit), 845 nucleotides. The record is from RefSeq and is a predicted model, not a curated record. Lineage: Eukaryota; Metazoa; Chordata; Aves; Passeriformes; Paridae.